UUAAAUUAUAUAAAUCAGUACUGUGCCUUCAG
RNAcentral lists this non-coding RNA (32 nucleotides) under Mus musculus (house mouse). Lineage: Eukaryota; Metazoa; Chordata; Mammalia; Rodentia; Muridae. The record is from RNAcentral.